Molecule: ribosomal RNA, 212 nt
Filed under: uncultured Bacillus sp.
Lineage: Bacteria; Bacillati; Bacillota; Bacilli; Caryophanales; Bacillaceae
Description: partial 16S ribosomal RNA
Rfam family: Bacterial small subunit ribosomal RNA
Source: RNAcentral
GAAGUGGGAUGACGUCAAAUCAUCAUGCCCCUUAUGUUCUGGGCUACACACGUGCUACAAUGGCCGGUACAGACGGACGCAAAGCCGCGAGGUGGAGCAAAUCCUAAAAAGCCGGUCUCAGUUCGGAUUGCAGGCUGCAAUUCGCCUGCAUGAAGUCGGAAUCGCUAGUAAUCGCAGGUCAGCAUACUGCGGUGAAUACGUUCCCGGGCCUU